Non-coding RNA from Kogia breviceps (pygmy sperm whale), 1054 nucleotides. Lineage: Eukaryota; Metazoa; Chordata; Mammalia; Artiodactyla; Physeteridae. The record is from RefSeq and is a predicted model, not a curated record.
UAAUAUUAAACAUACCAAAAAAUAAAUAAAUAAAAAUAAAAUUAUUGUAGAAGUAUUUUGAAGCCUAAGAUGAUAGUAUUUUCUUUUAGAGUGGAUUUUGAUGGUUCUCCCAGAUGCAUAGUGAGCACUAGCCAUUUGGAACCAGUUUAAUCUAAGCUCAAGGCUUGAGGUUUUCUGGGUCAUCAGAUGAGGUAAAGCUGGAUUACAAGUCCAGGCAAUGGUUAGUUUACUUGUAGUUUACUCUGACUUACCCUAAGAGUGGAGUUAUAGCUCAGCUUAAAGUAAGAACUAUUUUAAUCUUUGUCUCUGGUGAGCAUAGACUUCCAUCUUCUGACUUUCUGAGGCUGCUAAAACUGCAGUUCUGUUUCACAGUUGUUUCUUCUGAAUCAGCAGAUACCUCAGGGUAACCUAGGCUUAAUUCUUGGGCUUCUCAUGUUCUCCAAGUGUUCAUCUGACAUUCUCUCCUGGGCUUCUUGACUUUUUGGUAUUUUAAGAUUUUAAAAUAAUAUUCUGUUCAGUUUUUUAAAGUAUAAUUGUAUUGCGUUAAAAAUGUUAUACUUGUACUACAUAAAAGUGUAACUUUGGACAUUCUGGUUUUAAAUCCUACAUAUUACAUGUCAUUUGAGAGAAAUGCAUAUUUCUGGAUUUUAACUUUGUUCCAUCUUUUAGGUCAAUGAUUAAAACAUGCUUUGCUUCUACUGCCUUGCAGGGAGACUGAAUGUGGCACUUUGCCAUAUCUGUGGUCCUGAUAAAAUUAUAUGGAUACAGUCUUCUACUAACAGCAGUGUUUGGCUUAGUGGUAGCUGGAUCUGUAUUAAUAUUCAGGGUAUUAAUUGAUGAUUGGAAAAACAGGAAACCAAGAAAAAAAGGAGGUUUGGCAAGGCAUUCUCUGAAAGCACAGCACUGAAAAGGCUAACUUAUUUAAAAUCUGGACUGUUGGUCCUUAGGCCAUAUUGAUAACUUCAGUCACAAAUUAAAGAAGAGUGUGAUAUAUCAGUAGAAAAAUUUGGUCAUGUCUUGCUCUUCAUUCAGAAUGCCUCUAUCACCAUCUGCU